GUGGCUAUACGGUCAACUCGCGUGCGCGUCCGGUUAGAUUUCACAAGGACGUGCUUUUAUUUUUUGAGUCUGACACCGGAAAGAAAUCAAAGGUUCGAGUUUAUCUCCCGCUUUCCGCGGUAGCGACCUCGCGUUGCCAUAGCAAUGGACAGGGGGACGUGGGAGACGAUACUCACCCGUUUCCAGGCACGUGCACGUGGGUAUUCGGUGAGAAAGGAAGUCGGCCGCGCACGAGAAGACUUUACAGACAUCGUGCAAGAGAUCGAUGGAGGCUUGGCCCACCUGCAGUGGAGGGACACGGUUAUCCCCAUUCCUCACUUCACAGACACUGGCGGACUGUUUCUACGACCCAGCAGUGAUGCCAGCAGGCCUUUGGAUCCAGGGCUGGAUGUGAGAACCAGUCCCCAGAGUCCAGCAGCAGCCUUAUCACAGGAGAGAGGGGGAGAUCGGGCGCUCCUUCUGCAGAAGUCAGAAGCACAGAGAGAUGACUCAGGAACCAAAGGCCAAGCACGUCUCUCCACUGACCGUCUGCCCAGCAGCCAUGCAGGUGGAGGCGGGGUGGGCCUUGGGCAGAGGGAUCAGGGGGGAGAUAAAGAGGGAAGAGCGACAGGCAGCUCGGGAGACUCCACCAGCCUCUGGAGCAGUUUGGAGCAGGAUGAGAACUUUAGUCGCUCUCAUCGAGGGGGAAAAGACAGAAGAAGAAGAAAAGGGAUUUUGACCAUCGUUAGUAGCUUUGUGAUGUCCCCGGCAGUACUGCUUGGCACAGGAGGUGCCGCGCACACCGGAGGCCCUGCAUCUCCAUAGAAACACCCUGACCAUGGAGUUGGUCUGGCUACAACAGGCCAUUGACAGCAGGAAAAAGUACUUGUCUCUGAAGGAUAGGCUAACAGUAUCCUGAAGCAUGUGGGAGGCCUGACAGUUCAGUUAUUUUAUAUUUAUGUAAAGAAAUUGUUUGU
RNA transcript from Scophthalmus maximus (turbot), 956 nucleotides. It is a transcript of the gene named IQ motif containing C, with no coding region annotated. The record is from RefSeq and is a predicted model, not a curated record. The transcript is spliced from 6 exons. Lineage: Eukaryota; Metazoa; Chordata; Actinopteri; Pleuronectiformes; Scophthalmidae.